RNAcentral lists this transfer RNA (73 nucleotides) under Trichonephila inaurata madagascariensis. It matches the Rfam family "tRNA". From Rfam's summary of the family: Transfer RNA (tRNA) molecules are approximately 80 nucleotides in length. Their secondary structure includes four short double-helical elements and three loops (D, anti-codon, and T loops). Further hydrogen bonds mediate the characteristic L-shaped molecular structure. tRNAs have two regions of fundamental functional importance: the anti-codon, which is responsible for specific mRNA codon recognition, and the 3' end, to which the tRNAs corresponding amino acid is attached (by aminoacyl-tRNA synthetases). tRNAs cope with the degeneracy of the genetic code in two manners: having more than one tRNA (with a specific anti-codon) for a particular amino acid; and 'wobble' base-pairing, i.e. permitting non-standard base-pairing at the 3rd anti-codon position. Lineage: Eukaryota; Metazoa; Arthropoda; Arachnida; Araneae; Nephilidae. The record is from Rfam by way of RNAcentral.
GUUCCUGUAGUGCAAUGGAUAGCGCUUUGGACUUCUAAUCCAAAGGUUGUGGGUUCGAAUCCCACCUGGGAUA